GGUAAGGGUGCAACGGUGCGGUAAGAGCGCACCAGCAGCUAGGCGACUAGCUGGCUAGGUAAACCCCACCUGGUGCAAGACCUAAUAGGGGAACACAUGGAGUUGCCCGCUCCGUUCCCGGGUAGGUCGCUUGAGGCACUAGGCAACUAGUGUCCCAGAUAGAUGAUCAUCCAUCGACAGAACCCGGCUUACGGUUUAGUCAACUGC
This 207-nucleotide RNase P RNA is filed under the name Clostridia bacterium. Its description in RNAcentral is "partial RNase P RNA component class A". It matches the Rfam family "Bacterial RNase P class A", at positions 147 to 367 of the family's 367-position model. Rfam says of the family: Ribonuclease P (RNase P) is a ubiquitous endoribonuclease, found in archaea, bacteria and eukarya as well as chloroplasts and mitochondria. Its best characterised activity is the generation of mature 5'-ends of tRNAs by cleaving the 5'-leader elements of precursor-tRNAs. Lineage: Bacteria; Bacillati; Bacillota; Clostridia. The record is from RNAcentral.